GCUGCUUAGAUUCAGUGCUGUCAAAUCCAGCCCAUCUGCUGCAAUCAUAAUCAGUCUCAACCAAACGGUUCUGACAAAUCUCCGCCUGGAGCCGCCUGGAGCCGGAGUUAAGAGGACUGGGGGAGGACUGGGGGAGGGGAGAAGAGGGGCCAGGGGACCCAGGCACCCAAAGAGAAGAAGGGGCCUGAAGGCUUCUAUUGUCUGCCCUGAGUGGAGGAACUGAAAGGGGAAGCAAGGAUCCAGAAGGGGAAGUAGAGCUUUCAUUUCCCAGUUUCUAGUAAGAAAGAGAAAAAAAUCCAUUCCAGCAGGCGCCUGUUCCCUCCACACCCUCACCCCCAGCUCAGUCCGAGUGGAACGAAUUUCUGCUAAUGAACUAAACAAACAGGUCCCUUAAUCUCAUCGUGGGGCUGACCCGGAGACUGUCACAGAUAUCCAAAGUAUUGUUAAUUGGCAGGUAAUAUGGAAAGUCGAAGAAGCAGAGGAAGAGACAUGAUCAUCUGAAUAGUUUAAUGGAUCGUUCUGACUGCCACAUUGAAAAUGAAGUAUAGAGAAACAGAGAUGAGGACAAAAGCAGGAGAUGAUCAGGAGUGACAAAUGGAUCCAGCAGUUGUGCCUGUGAAAAGCAGUUUUGAAAAGGCUCAAGACCAAAUGAAAGAGCAAAGGAUAAAGAAGAUCUCAUUACCCCAGAAGUAUCAGAAGACGUCUGUCCUCUCAUGUAUUUGAUGAAAAAAUGAUCCUAACAAACCAACCUAACUGACCUCCCUCAGAAUAUUUCUGAUGAGAAAUGAGUAAACUUUUGCUUUUCACCUGAUGCCAACUGAUUUCUUCUCUGUGAAAUAUGAGAACAUCCACAUGUGACAGUGGUCCCAGCUAAAUAAUGUACUCCAAUUUCCAGUAACUGUUUUAUAGAAAAAUAAUCUGCACUGUAUUUACAAUGUUUAACCAAUGUGGCAGAGACAAAUGCAAAGUUUACAUGAUCAAUUUUAAUGUGUUAUGUGAUAUUGAAAGUUAUUUUCAAAUAUAAACUUUAUAAUUAUAAGAAGGAAGGUAAUGGUUCUGCUUUAAAACUGCCUGGAAAUAAACUUCUAUACUAUAAUGAUGGUUUAGCA
Heterocephalus glaber (naked mole-rat) is the source of this 1109-nucleotide long non-coding RNA. RefSeq lists it as uncharacterized. The record is from RefSeq and is a predicted model, not a curated record. NCBI's taxonomy places the organism in Eukaryota, Metazoa, Chordata, Mammalia, Rodentia, Bathyergidae.